CCCUCCACCUCAUCUACCGCCGCCGGCGGGAGCUCUUCCCCAUGCCCUCCACCUCAUCUACUGCCGCCGAAGGGAGCUCUUCCCCAUGCCCUCCACCUCAUCUACCGGCGUCGGAGGGAGCUCUUCCCCAUGCCCUCCACCUAACUCUUACCGCCGCUGGAGGGAGCUCCGCUGCUCUCCUGCCGCACGCCGCUCCUCUUUCCCCAAGGCGAUGGAAAUCACAAAACCGGGACACACCAGACCAGGGGCUCCUCGAUCGCUGCUUGGGUCAUCGGUGGCGGUGUUGGCGAUGAAGGAUGGGGGCGGCGAUGCCGUUGGAGUCUUGGAAAAGCAGCUUGGGCAGAGUGGAUAGGGUGGCUAGGUUGAUAGGUUGGCCUCCUCCAGCAGCCUCUCUUCGCCACGCUUCAGCUCCGGCCCCUCGCUUGCCGCCGCCUGCGACGCUGGUGUUCUGCUCGCCUGCGAGGUGUUCUAUCAAUUGACCAAACCGAGCCAAGUCUGAGCAUGGAAAAUGGUCACGUACUUUCCUUCCCGAGCAGUACAGUACUACGCCAGAAGCGAUGUCGGCCGAACAGGCGAAGAGGAAAGAGGCCACAGAAGGAUUCUUGCGUCCCAAAUGUCAGUUUCAGGUUCACGGGCAGGAUGGUGGAUUCGUUCUUCGAUGGCCAGACUAUCCAUGUCAAGCGACGGCAUGAGAAGAGCUCCGGGGAGGUUGUCAUGUGCCGGUGCAUCUCACCUUCAAGCACAUGCCGCAGACUCCGGCUGUUCUUUCUUUGCUGGAUGUUCGGCGCGCUGAUGCUGCAUGGAAGCAUUUGAAGCGGAAAAAAAAAAUCUUCACAUACCUUCCUGUGUGGGAGUAUUAUGCCCGUUCAACAAGUAGAAGACCGAGCCUCUCCAGCAAGGUUUUCAAUAUUAAGGGGGAAAUCUGAAGGUGUAUAAGGUAAACACACAGAGCUCUAGAUACAUUUAGUAAAAAAAAAUCUUUAUAUCUUGCAUUAUAAUUACACAUGGGAAAUACGGAUGAGGUGCCUGAUGUCAGCUACAAUCACAGAUCUAAGAAUCACCUUUUUAAAUGUAAUUGAUAAAAUGAUCAAAGAGUAACUGUGUGACCCACUACGUAGAGAAAGUUUAAGAACGACACACCUAGGAUUAACCCUGAAUGUUAUCAAGUUCAGGUAUUACCAUUAUUGUAUAGAUUCAAGCAGUGUACUGUAGUUACCAUGACACACAUAUUCACGAGGGAAGUUUUUGUGAAGCAGUAGCAUAGGAUACUUUCCUUCAGCGUGGUUCAGACUUGUGUAAAAUCCUACAGGAGAGAAAGGACGACUGGGUCUCUGGCUUAGUGCUACCUGUAUGAGGUACCCCCUUAUGGUGUUGUAGGUGCCAUUUUUAUUGGCCUGCUGGUACAUAUUCACUUAAUCAUGCAGAGUUAUAGGAAUAUAGGCAAGACUGAAAUAUGUGUUCAUCUGGGAGCCUAUAGACGCUAAACAAUAUUUUAGUGAUGUUGGAUGCUAUCACCUAUAUAGACUUUUUUCCCAUAAUAGUGUGCUUCCAGUUUUUUGGUUCAUGGACGGUCAGAUGGUAUUUCACCUAGCUCUUCCAGUUUGUUGGUUCAUGGACGGCCAGAUGGUAUCUCACCUAGCUGGCCUGCUUUCAAGUAUCAGUUUGCUAAACAGGUAAAUGCUUAUGCUCGCUAGCACUAUAUAAUACAUCAAUUGGUUUCUUAUUGCUGAAAUUUGAAAGACUUGUGAAUUAGAAGAAUAUCUUUUCUAUAGGAUGCCUAUACUUAGAGGCUUAUAAAUCGAGUAUUCUCUAAUGUGGUGCAAAAUUUUGUGUUGUUCUUAUGACCCAUGGUCCUACGUAAAGUAUUCCAAUACAUUUCCACAAAUCAGUACUUUUAUUCUUCACGUAAUACAUGUUCCUGUUCAAUCAAGGAUGGAUUCAAAUGGUGCUGGGACAUGUAAAGAGAAGGAGCUCAUUAUGCAUGGAGACAGGUUUUGAAUUGGGGUGUGAUGCUUCCUACCUGAUGAUGUAGAUGUUAGAUGUGGGAUCUCCGUAUAAGUAGAAUGUCACACAUAUGAAUGUUGUAUCUUGGAUGAUUCGUAGAAAAGAAGCCAACGGGGCACACUUCAUAUCUUGGAUGUAUCUGUUAUACGAAUGUUGUACUUUGUAGGACAAACUAUAACAAAACAAACACAUGCUGAGCCAAUGGGGGCGGCGCGCCGCAGGGCAUGCUUCGGUGGAUCGACUUGAAUAGAUAGCUGGUGAUGAUAUAUCGCUUAGGACCAGCAGCGAUGGUUUGAUUCACAUGUAAAUUUCACUACCACUACAUCAUAGAGACAAAUCCAGCUAGAGAAUCAAUGUUGUCAAAGUAGAGAACACAGUGCUUCACAAUUCCAGUACCCACUAUCAUUACAUGUUGUAAAUUAUACUUAUGCAUGUAUCAACUAGAUGUAUCUUUUCUUAUAUGAACUACUUUGCCACGAAUCAAGUCUUGGACGACUUACCAAAUAUUACAAAGAAAACUAAAUAGCUUAUCAAUCCUUAUGGCGCGGCGUGCCGCCGCGCACUACUUGCUAGUACUUACUAUGUUAGUUUCAUAGAUGACUUUAGUAAGUAUAUUUGGAUCUAUCUUCUUAAAAAACACUCUGAUGUUUUCCAAGUUUUCCAACAUUUUCAAGCACUUGUUGAAAGUCAAUUUGAUAGCAAAAUUCUCAUUGUCCAAUCUGAUUCGGGUGGCGAGUAUGAGGAACUAGACUCUUUCAAAGUAUGGGUGUGUCAAAUCAUGUGUCAUGUCCUUAUGCACACCAACAGAACGGCUCUGCAGAACACAAACAUAGGCACAUUGUUUAGGUGGGCCUAGCUUUACUUGCCGGUGCCUCCUUCCUUUCAAAUUUUGGGAUGAGGCAUUCCUUACCGUAGUCCAUCUGAUUAACAUGCUUCCUAGUCAUGUCAUUCAAAAUGAUACACCCAUGCAUAAACUCUUCAAUAAAUGACCAUAUUAUACCUCUCUUCGUGUCUUCGGUUGCACUUUUUGGCCAAACUUACGCUCUUACAACAACCCAACAACCGCAAGCUCAUGUUCUGCUCCAAACAGUGCGUUUUUCCUGGCUAUAGUGCUAAGCAUGAAGGAGUUAAAUGUCUAGAUGUACCCACUGGCCGUGUAUACAUAUCUCGUGAUGUCGUCUUUGAUGAAACUGUUUUCCCUUUGCUCACCUACAUCCUAAUGCUGGUGCCUUGCUUCGCAAAGAAAUACUCCAAUUACCCUCUCAUUUAACCGGUUUUCAGCCAGGGGAUGACAAUUGUAUUGAUCAUAUCACUAAUGCUUCUAACCGUGGAAAUGCGUCUUCUAGUGCUGCAGGAUCAGAUAUGGAGGCAACAGGCGAAAAUCUGGUGAAAAACAGUGAAGAAAUCGCUCAAAGCAACUUUCAUUUUGUGCCAGCAACGUGACAAC
This is an RNA transcript of Triticum aestivum (bread wheat), 3451 nucleotides long. RefSeq lists it as uncharacterized. The record is from RefSeq and is a predicted model, not a curated record. The transcript is spliced from 4 exons. Lineage: Eukaryota; Viridiplantae; Streptophyta; Magnoliopsida; Poales; Poaceae.